RNAcentral lists this transfer RNA (73 nucleotides) under Heliophilum fasciatum. It matches the Rfam family "tRNA". Rfam says of the family: Transfer RNA (tRNA) molecules are approximately 80 nucleotides in length. Their secondary structure includes four short double-helical elements and three loops (D, anti-codon, and T loops). Lineage: Bacteria; Bacillati; Bacillota; Clostridia; Eubacteriales; Heliobacteriaceae. The record is from Rfam by way of RNAcentral.
GCGCCUGUAGCUCAGUGGAUAGAGCACCGUCCUUCUAAGUCGGGAGUCGCAGGUUCGAUCCCUGCCAGGCGCG